UUGGCCCUGAGUCAAGGCCAGCAGUUUGCUGAAGCUGUUGGUUUAAAGCAGGAGUCUCAAGAAAUGUCUUUCUACUGGCUACGUCAGUUGGUAGAAAAUGCA
RNAcentral lists this small nucleolar RNA (102 nucleotides) under Vulpes vulpes (red fox). The record is from RNAcentral. Lineage: Eukaryota; Metazoa; Chordata; Mammalia; Carnivora; Canidae.